AAGUCGUAACAAGGUUUCCGUAGGUGAACCUGCGGAAGGAUCAUUACAUAAGAGGGGAGGGGGGGAAAGUGGGAGAGUUAAGGGGAAGGGCUUUGCUCAGAAGAGCACUGCUCUAUACUAUACUAUACCCUCCUACUCACCCCACCGCCCAUAUUAGCACGGAGGCCGCUUGCCUUGUCUAUACAGGCAAGCAGCCCCAUGUUUACGCUUGCUUGUUUGACAAAGUUAUACCCAUCCAAUCAACUUUUACAACUUUUAACAAUGGAUCUCUUGGCUCUU
This 279-nucleotide unclassified non-coding RNA is filed under the name fungal sp. RNAcentral's name for it is "partial internal transcribed spacer region". The stretch from base 1 to 46 matches the Rfam family "Eukaryotic small subunit ribosomal RNA", at positions 1786 to 1831 of the family's 1831-position model. The record is from RNAcentral. Lineage: Eukaryota; Fungi.